CACACAAAUUUCAUUGAAAUUUAGACCUCAGAAUCAAACCUUUAAAAAUAAAAGCAACACUGUUUCAUCUGAGAUCAUUUUUUCAUUCUUAUGUGCAGUGGAUCCAAACUUCUACAGCAAAAACUUACUUCUUUUAGGAAAGACAUACUUGAAACUACACAACAAAAAGCUUGCUGCUUUCUGGCUAAUGAAAGCCAAGGACUAUCCAGCACACACAGAGGAGGAUAAACAGAUACAGACAGAAGCUGCUCAGUUGCUUACAAGUUUCAGUGAGAAGAACUGAGAACUUUUCAGAGAAGAUGUAUGAAAUAGCUAAUAAACAUUGCCUUUUCUUUUAAUUCUAAACUUAAUAUAUGAACUAUAACUGUUCUACGCUUUUUAAAUGUUGUGACUGUUUAACAUUGUAAAUAUAAAAAAUUCUAGGCUUCUUCACAAAUAAUAAGGUAAAAGAAAUAAUCGCCAUAAGAAUGGUAGAAAUAAA
RNAcentral lists this small RNA (481 nucleotides) under Pongo abelii (Sumatran orangutan). RNAcentral describes it as "retained intron". The record is from RNAcentral. Lineage: Eukaryota; Metazoa; Chordata; Mammalia; Primates; Hominidae.